This 812-nucleotide ribosomal RNA is filed under the name Bacillus safensis. Its description in RNAcentral is "bacterial SSU rRNA". It matches the Rfam family "Bacterial small subunit ribosomal RNA", at positions 60 to 850 of the family's 1533-position model. The record is from RNAcentral. Lineage: Bacteria; Bacillati; Bacillota; Bacilli; Caryophanales; Bacillaceae.
AGUCGAGCGGACAGAAGGGAGCUUGCUCCCGGAUGUUAGCGGCGGACGGGUGAGUAACACGUGGGUAACCUGCCUGUAAGACUGGGAUAACUCCGGGAAACCGGAGCUAAUACCGGAUAGUUCCUUGAACCGCAUGGUUCAAGGAUGAAAGACGGUUUCGGCUGUCACUUACAGAUGGACCCGCGGCGCAUUAGCUAGUUGGUGGGGUAAUGGCUCACCAAGGCGACGAUGCGUAGCCGACCUGAGAGGGUGAUCGGCCACACUGGGACUGAGACACGGCCCAGACUCCUACGGGAGGCAGCAGUAGGGAAUCUUCCGCAAUGGACGAAAGUCUGACGGAGCAACGCCGCGUGAGUGAUGAAGGUUUUCGGAUCGUAAAGCUCUGUUGUUAGGGAAGAACAAGUGCGAGAGUAACUGCUCGCACCUUGACGGUACCUAACCAGAAAGCCACGGCUAACUACGUGCCAGCAGCCGCGGUAAUACGUAGGUGGCAAGCGUUGUCCGGAAUUAUUGGGCGUAAAGGGCUCGCAGGCGGUUUCUUAAGUCUGAUGUGAAAGCCCCCGGCUCAACCGGGGAGGGUCAUUGGAAACUGGGAAACUUGAGUGCAGAAGAGGAGAGUGGAAUUCCACGUGUAGCGGUGAAAUGCGUAGAGAUGUGGAGGAACACCAGUGGCGAAGGCGACUCUCUGGUCUGUAACUGACGCUGAGGAGCGAAAGCGUGGGGAGCGAACAGGAUUAGAUACCCUGGUAGUCCACGCCGUAAACGAUGAGUGCUAAGUGUUAGGGGGGGUUUCCGCCCCCUUAGUGGCUGCA